RNAcentral lists this long non-coding RNA (15782 nucleotides) under Nicotiana benthamiana. RNAcentral's name for it is "long non-coding RNA (NBEN_LNC018118)". Lineage: Eukaryota; Viridiplantae; Streptophyta; Magnoliopsida; Solanales; Solanaceae. The record is from RNAcentral.
CACACAUAGAGGAGCUGGAAGAAAGGGUCUGCGCAGUUGGCGGUUGCUUCUUCACAAAAACACAUACCUAUACAUACAAUACACACACAUAUACACAGAGAAAAUAGAGAGGCGUCUGGGAACGAGCCCUGCUUUGGAUCUCAUUUGCAAAUAUGGUUUACUGCACCAGCUUCGUUUCUUCAUUCAAGUUUGUGAGAUCGUCCUUCGAGUUUUAUUUUGGCGGAGUUUCGAGGUUCCGAUGAGGUCGCCGAUGAGGUUCCGUUCAACGUCCAAUUUGUCCGAUCUGAGAUCCUUGUUGAUUCGAACCAUCGCACAACCUAAAUAUUCAGCAAGAAAGGUGUUUCCUCCAUCUAAAUACUCCAGAUGCAGUAUUAUGUUUGUUCCAGUGAUUUUAUUCAAAUUGAAUGCCCGUUUGUUCUUUUUUUAUUUAGCCUCUUUGAUGUUUUUCCUUGUUUUGAAUAAUUUGUUCAUUUGCACUUUAUUUUUGAGUGCUUAAACUACGAAUUUUGCCGAACUUUUCAGUAGAUUUGAUUUCCUACAUGAAUUUUUGCUCAUGGUUGAUUGGUUCUAAGUUAAAAAAAUGGAGUGAAUUAGCUUUUUCUCUGUCCAUACUUAGUUUCAUGUUAUGUUUAAUAUCAUUAUGAUUUAGCAUGUUAUAAUUUAUGUAAUAUUUUACUGUGAGUUAAUAAAUGAAUUAAUGAAACACUAGAUUUUGUUUGAAUUGGAUUGAAUUAAGUUUGUUUGGUAAGGACUUUCAGUAGGUUUGAAAUUGGCGUGAUUUUGGAUUUAGAUUAGAGUAUUUUUGUCUUAUUAGAUGGGGUUCGCACUUUUCAGUGCAUCAAUUUAGCAAUUUACUUCAGGCCCGUAACUUAAGAUUCAUGAUUAUGGAUACAGUUCUCGUCGUGUAGUUGUAAUAUUAAAUUUUAAAUUAGUUUUAAAUAUAUAUAUCCGUAGUUUUUAGUUGAGUUCUUUUCCUUUAAUAGAAUUCGAGGUGUGCCAUUUAGCGAAUUCCAUGGCCCUCGCAAUCUUGCAAACGCAUAUUUAUUUUAGGCGCGCUAGUUAAAGAAUUCACUUUCCUAAAUACGGGUGCACAUUUAUGUGACACAAAUCCAAAUCUUAACGAAGUUGGAAUGUGUCAAAAUCCACGUGUGCAUUUAUGUGACGUGGUUCGAGGCAUGUUUUAACAACGUUGCAAUUCUCUUUAAAAUAAUGAUAAAACCGGUUUAAGGUUAGAAAGCACAUAAGCUAAAACAUGUUCUAAAAUCAGGUAAUUUAAGCCAAAUAUAACAGUUGAGCGACCGUGCUAGAACCACGGAACCGGGAAUGCCUAACACCUUCUCCCAGGUUAAUAGAAUUCCUUAGCAGGAGUUCUGAUUCGCAGACUGUUAAACAUAGUCAUUCUUUCGUAGAUUCGGGAUUCUAACCGGUGACUUGGGACACCAUAUAUAUCCCAAGUGGCGACUCUGAAAUUCUUUUAAAUAAUUGAAUCCCAUUUCGAUUGUCCUUAAAUUGGAAAAGCUCCCUUAUCUACGCCCUUCGCCGGGUUGUAGUAGCAAAAAGGAGGUGUGACAGCUCUGGCGACUUUGCUGGGGAAGGUGGACCCAGAAUCUCUGGUUUAGGGUUCAAGAAUUCGAGCUUACAGUAACUGUUAUAUUUGACUUCUUCUGGUUUGCUUACUUGCUCUGUGCUAAAUGCUGCAUGUUUUACCGCUUUGAUAUUACCAGAACUGUAUAUAUAAACUGCUUCACUUGUCACCUCCGGGGAUGUGCUUACUGGUUGAGACUCCCUAUUCUCUUAGUGUCGUACCCUGAAAUAAGAAAGAGGCCGGACAAGUUACAAAGCCGGACGAUCUCGCGGGUCCCAGGUACGUAGCCCCCUCCUCGACUCGAGCUGUCCGCUCGGGUAUACAGUCUAGAACAAAUACCCAGGCUUAAACUUAGAAUAACAAAACCUCAUGCUGGAUCCCUAGUAAGAACACUUAUCUGCAUCAUGCUUAGGGGACUCAACACAGGGGUUGGGCCCAUCUAGGACAGGUGUACCCAAAAUAACAGAUCAUCCGUAUAGAUCCUAAUGUGAUACAUGUUGCAUUUCUCCAAGGAUAAAAGGGUCAUUUGGCGGACCAAGGAUAGCUGAGGGUAAAUGAAAAAUUGAAAAAAAAGAAGAAGAGAAAAACAAUGAAAAGAAAAGAGGUGAAGUGUGAAAAUAAAGCAAGUAGGAUUUAGUUAUGUUUUGUUAUAUUUUUAUUAGAAAAGAGACACGGGAUAUGGGAAAAAUUCAAAAAAAAAAUAAUUAACACUUUUUAUUCAAAAAAAAAAAAAAAAAAGGGAAAAUCCAAAAUAGUUUACGUAUUUCAUCAUUUUUUUUUUCAAAAAGAGAAAAAUUUUUUUAAAAAAAAAAAAAAAAAAGUGAAAAUCCAAAAUAGUUUACGUAUUUCAUCAUUUUGUUUUUCAAAAAGAGACAAAAGAAAAUGUUUUCUUUAAAAAUUAGAUGUUGUUUUUUAUUUUCUGCCCGUAUCCAAUUAGCCCGAAUUACGCGAACUUGAUUCUCGUCUUUCGAGACGUGAUACGUAGGCAACAAACAUAUGGUUUGAUUGUCCUUGUAAUUUUUAGAUUCUUGGCUUUGCGGGGUUAUAGCCAGACUUUGCACUUCUAGCUACUUUUAGCCAUAUAGGUUGGUUUUAGAAUUCAGAAGUUGCUUGUUGGAAAUUGUGUGAAUUGAGUUAUGUCAAUGGACUCUACUAUUGAAAUUCUUAGAGUUCAAGUUUGAAUUCUCUUAUCAAACUUCUUUAUGAUGGUGAAAGUUCUAUUGAGAUCAGUCUUUGUUUGUUGGGGCGUUAUUUUGUGAUUUUAACGAGUUCAAGUUGAAAUUCUCUUGUCAAACUUUUUUCAUGCUCGUGAAAGUUCUACUGACAUCAGUCUUUGUUUGUUGGGGCGCUGUUUUGUGAUUUUAAUUCAAUCAAUGAGUUGUUGGUGGGGCCAUGUCCGUAUGUAAAUCAUGCAUUGUACACCAGUUAUCUUUGUGCUAUGACUGCGGAGUUUUGAAGCUUGUCUUGUUGAAUUUUACCACUUUUGUGAAGUUUUUGGAGUAAAUUGAUAGUUGAAAUUCUCCUAGUUUGAACUUGUUAUCAUUGGCUUUUAAUAGUUGUUGUUAUUGUUGAGUUUAAUAGAGGGGAUUCAGUUGGACUAAAGUUUGAUCAUGCUUGACUUGUUAUUUGGUUGAGCAUACAUUCAGCUUACUCUGCUGAAAUUUUAUGUCCAUUGAGAUUUAUGCACGAGUUUAGCAGCGACAGUUUGAAAUAUGGUUUUUACUUCUAAAAAGUUCUCUUUGUUGAAUUAAUUGCUUUUGUUUAAUAAAUAUUGUGGUUACUCUGACUCAAUAUUGAUGUGAUUCUAAUGUUUUAUUUAUACAGUUGAGGUCGUCAUUUUGUGCUGAAAAAUUCUGUACCUAUUGCUGCUAAAUUUAAUGCUCAAGGUGUUGCUGAAGUUUGAGUUUUGAGAAGCAAUUGAAUAGCGAACCUGCCAGCUUAUUUGAAUUCUAGAAUUUUGCAUUUAAAUGAAAGUUGUUGAUGUAGUACAAGUUUUCUAAGCAUUAUUUGCAUUUUUUACAACAUUUUGUAAAAAUGAAACUGGAGCGGAGAUUAGAACUUGUUUGAAGAAUUUUGAACUCAAAUAAGAGUGUUUUGGACUGUUAUUGAAGGUUNNNNNNNNNNNNNNNNNNNNNNNNNNNNNNNNNNNNNNNNNNNNNNNNNNNNNNNNNNNNNNNNNNNNNNNNNNNNAGCUAAGAGUGUUUUGGACUGUUAUUGAAGGUUGUUGAAACAACCUUGGAAAUGUUUCACUUUUUGCACUAGUUGUGUAGUGAGUGCAAGUUGAUAUUUCUGCACAUUUGAGUUCAGUUGAUUACAAGUAUUUUGGGUCUGUUAACAGGAAAUUACAAGCUGACAAAUAUUGCUUAAAGUUUUUUUUUUGUAGUAUAGUGAUUUUUUUUGUUACAAGUAGUAUAGUGAUUUUUUUUAGUGUAGGCUUUAGGGAAUACUUAGUAAUGGUUGUAGUUAAGUUUUUUUUUAAUAUAAUUAUUUUAUAUAUAUAUAUAUAUAUAUAUAUAUAUAUAUAUUUGCUAUCUUUUGCUUUUUCAGUUGUAGGUUUUAGGGAAUACUUAGUAAUGGUAGUAGUUAAGUUUUUAAAAAAAAUAUAGUUAUUAUAUUUUUUUUGGCUAACUUUUGCUAUUUUCAUUUAGCAGCAUUUAGUUUUUAGUUUUUAUUACUUUGGAUCAUCCUUAAAGCAAAUUAAAAAAAAUGAUGAAAAGAAGAAGAGAAAGCAGAAAGUAGAGAAUGAAAAGAAAAAGUUUUCUUGGGUCACUACUUUUUGGGUGAUUUGUUGAGGUUUGCAAUAUUUAUGAAAAUUGCUUGAAGUGCAUUGAGGCUGCAACUUUCCCAGUUAUUGUGGGGAUGUCCAGAAUUGCAGAAUUGACUAGUUUUUGCGUGUGUGCCAUCUUUUGUAAAUAUUUUGGCCGUCGAUUUUGAUGGUAUUGAAAUGGUUUCAAGUUGAUUUAAAAUAAAAAAGUUUUUUUUAUCUCUUAGAACCUUCAUGGUUUGAGUUGUAUAAAAACAAAAAAUGAGUUAGUUCAUUCGCUCCAUUUUUUUUUCUUCCAGAACUAAGCAAAGAUCUUAUUCAUACGGGGUCAUGAUACGUUGGUAACAUACGUAGGGUUCGAUCGAAUCAUUUCAUUUUAUAAAAAAAAAAAGAUAAAAUCCAAAAAAGAGAAAAGGAAAAAAAGAGAAAAAUGGUGUAAUUAUGGGACAAGGAGAGAAAGAGUGAUAAAUAGAAAAAGAGGAAGGAAAAUGAUCAAGAAAGUGCCAGAAAAACAAAGAAAGAGUGAUGAUGAAAUGAACAAAUUGGGAUGAUGCCAUAUGACCUUCAUACCCUUGAAGUCAUGUUAGAACUGGUAACUGUGACUAGGUGCAUUGCACGCAAUGUGAUAUUUUAGAUGAUUAAUGCCCUAACACUAACAUGAUGGCUUCCUUUUGUCAUACUCAUAGCAAAAGGGUGGUUGGUUUGUAGUUUUUAGAGUAGUAACUCUCCUCUACAACACAAAGUCAAAGGCAUUGGUGGACAACAAUAGAUUGAGUUGGCCAACACCGAGGCCCGAAAACAAUUGGUUGACCAAAAUAGUGGGUUAAUUGAAGAGGUACAAAGGUUGAGACAACACAUGGCAUAAAUGUAUCAGGCUUGGAUGACCGGGACAUCACCACCCCAGCCACCACCCAAUUGCUUGGAUGUUACCCUUCUCCAAACUCCGAUCAUGGUUUCGAACGAUCCUCGAUACUUUCCAGAUGUACCUGCUUAUUACAGUUUUCCCAACCACCCAAUAGCUCCGUCACUUGCCCUCCAACCAUCCCGAACAAUGAAUAUGUACUCAGAGCUCAUGAUAUACAAUACUAUCCCGCAGAGGUGGCCCACAAGGUUUCUAACUCGUACAAGUAGAGCCUGCAGGAUGAGCCUCGUGUUGAGAAUGAAAAGUUCACAUAGAAAGAAGGGUGGAAUGGAAUACCCGAAGGCCGGCAGGCACAAGCCAGUCCUUGAAGAACAAGCAAGGGAUGUGGAACAAGGGUAAUAUGUCUUAAGAAGAACUGUUUGUAUCUUACGUUCGCCUACCCCCAGGGUUCAAAGUGCCAAAAUUUAACUUGUACGAUGGGUGGGGAGACCCCGUAGCUCACCUGAGGGUUUAUUUCAGUGAAGUGAGAGGCGUUGGAGAGAAAGAUGACCUGUUGAUAGCAUAUUUCAGCAAGAGCCUAACUGGGGCAGCUUUGAAUUGGUAUACUCGUCAAGAUAUCGGUAAAUGGCCUACAUUAGGUGACAUGGCUCAAGACUUUAUUCGAUACUUUCAAUGCAAAUCCAGUGUUACCCUAGACCGCUCUUCCCUAUCUAAAAUGAAAAAGAAGCCAGAGGAAUGUUUUAGGGAUUUUGGGCUCAGGUGGAGAGCACAAGCAACUCGAGUUAGUAACCCGAUUGGUGAAAAGGAAAUUGUUGAGAUUUUCCUACAAGCCCAGGAGCCCACCUACUUCGGUUCUUCGAUCCCGGCUUUUGGAAGAUCUUUUAAUGAUGUGUUAAAAAUGGGGGAGAAAAAGGAAGAGGGAAUCAAGUCAGGGGCCUUGCCUUUUUAAAUGAAAGGCUACAUUCGAUUCUGACAACGGGUAAAGCUACUGCCCAGCCCUACCUUUAUGCAGGAAUUGACCAAAUAAGGAAGAUUGUGACCCCCAACGAAAAAGGAAUGGCAUUUUCGGGGAAUAGCCCGCUUAAAUAAACUAGAUUGAAGACUACCUUUAUGCAGUAAUUGAGCCAAAUCAUGAGUGGUUUGAAAGAUAUUCAGAACAUCCAAGUAAGCUUCGGCGGAAGAAAGAGAAAGAUGAUCAGCAUUUCCAGCCUCGACAUCGUCCUCGUGGAUAUCAUUACGUACCAGAUAAUCCUCCCUACCGUUACUUCUCUCUACAGAACUGAAAAUAUCGUACAUUACUUUCCCCAUAACCAGCUCCACAGAAUUCUUAUCCACCCCCAUGAGCAUCCAAAAACCUCCUGGGUUAGGUUUCCAGCCCAGCAAAGCAUGUAAGAAUGAGAGGCUACUGAAAAAAAAGGAUUUCACCCUUAUCGGAGUAUCAUAUGCCAGUUUGUUCCAAAGGUUGAAGCAGUUGGACGUGUUGAAGCCGAUUCAGAUAAAAAUGCCAAACCCUCUGUCAAAGAAUUUUGAUGUUCCUAAAAGGUGCACAUAUUGCUUAGAUGCCCCGGGGCAUGAUACAGAGAAGCGUUGGAGUUUAAAAAAAGCAAUUUAGAAGCUUAUUGAUGAAGGUGACAUUGUCGUGCAAAAUCUCGAUGCAACAGACACUAGCCAAAUUCCAUUGUUUGUGCAUAAGGAGAUGCACAUGUGGGAAUGUGAGAAUUCUUCUGGGAGCCUCGGAGGCACGAGUGCUGUUAAGCUUUUAACACUAUCAGAAGUUGAUCUUCAGAAAGAUUUGGUGAAAGGAACCCAAAAGUGAUCUAUUAAGAACAAUAUGACAAAGGUUUGUGAAGUGCCUAGUGUUAUUAAUGUGGAACCCAGUGGCUAAUAUGUUGUGAUGGGUAAUUGGGAAGACACUCAAUUUCUUGGUCAGCCAGAGAGGAGUUUUGGUGGUUUUUUUGUUGUCAUUUCUGUUAUCCGGGUUAUUUCAUGGUUGUAAUCCGGAGAUUGUCUCGUGAUUCAAACCCUUUUAUCCUUUUAUUUUUCCUAGCUUUUUCAGUGUCGUCUAGGUUUGUUCUAGGGUUUUAACCCCAGCCUUUUUACUUGUUUUGUUGUCCAAGUUCUUUCACUAUCAGUCUAAUGCAAUUUUCUACUUUCCCUUAUUUCUAGUCAUUUGGUUUAGUUUUCUUUUCUUUUCAGAAUUCUUUUCCCUGUUGGAUUCAAUGACAUGACAUGCAUCCAAAACCCCAGGCAUGGUCUUAAAAUAUUACUCAUAAGGCAAUAGAGACACUUGAGGGAAACAAGAAUAGGUAUGGACUCUUUGAGACCAUUUGAAGCCCGAACCACGGGCAGAUAGAACAUGAAGAAAUUCUAAAAAGCAAGUUUACCAAACUGGCAGGGACCAAUUGUAGUAGCAGGAGUGUUGUCCAAUGGUGCAUUAUAUUUGGCAGAUGAGGAAGGGAAAUGUGUAGAAACGGCUAUCAAUUCUGACGUAGUCAUGAUAUACUAUGUAUGAUUCCGUUUAGUGGUUGUACUUGUUUGUCUUGGCAUAUUUUGAACACUGGAAUGACGAAGACAUUUUAUUCUGCUAUCUAAACACUUAUCCUUUGCUAACCCUUUUGAGCAUUAAUUAUUUUCUUUCAUACCCUUUUUUCGAAAUCAGUAACAAAAGUCGAAAAUGCAAGCGUGAGAAGGUACUGAAACGAAAAGAAUGCAAAGAAUGAAAAAAUGAAAACAAAAGAUAAGAAAAAGAAAAGAAAAACAAGAAAAGAAAGAGAAAAGAGAAAAAAGAAAAGGAAAAAGAAAAGAGAAAUAAAACAAAACAAAGAAAAGAAAAGGAAGAAAAGAAAAACAAAAAGAGAAAAAAGGGGAGAAGAAAAACAACAACAAAAACAAGGAAUCGAUAUUGAACUACGUUUGACCUGAUUCCUUUUAAGGAUACGUAGGCAGCCUCAUGGUUCGGUCUCAUUAAAAUAAAAAUCCAAAAGUCCCCAAGCAAGAAACUGUGGCAGUUGUUGUGGUUGUUGUAAGAAAUCUGAUUCCGAAAGUUGUAGUUUUUAAACCCAUGUGAAUUUUUUUGAGCCUUUGAUACCCUUUAUUUCUAACCCUAUCCAAAAGACCACGUUAUGGUCCAAAGAAGACCUUCUGAUCAGUCUUCAAGAGAUGCCAAGUUGAGCAAGUAGAGGUGAUUCAUGUCAGAGGCAACACUCUGGUCCAAGCAGGAAAGAUAAUAAAAAAAUUAGAGAGUCUUAUUUGUGAAAACCCUCACGGGCACCGUAAGGCGACAGCGAAACACUCCGGCCAAGCAGGAUAGAUAAUAAAUGAGAGAUUUUUAUUUGUAAAAACCCUCACGGGCACCGUAAGGCGAUGGGAGCUGAAAAAAAUAAAAAUAAUGAGAGAGUCUAAUUGGUGAAAACCCUCAUGGGCACCUUAUGGCGAUUGUAAGUUGAGAGAAAGAACACAGUAAGAGAGGCUUGAUGGCGAAAACCUUUUAGGCGCUACAAGUCAAAUAAGGAUAGAAAAUCAGAUUGGAUAAUCAGAGCAUCGAAGCCCAGCUUCACGGUCUGGGAGUAUAACAAGAGUUGAACAUCAGAUUUGCUUAACAGAAUGGGCCGCAGGUGCAUGUCAUGGUCAUUAGAGUUGGUACACACAUAUUAUUGGUUUCUACUUUUAGGUUUUGUUAGGAAUUAUCUCCUUUGUUCCUUUUAUCUUGUUUAUUCCCUCCUCUUUAGUUUAUUGGUUUCUACUUUUUAGGUUUUGUUAGGAAUCAUCUCCUUUGUUCCGUUUGUCUUGUUUAUUCUCUCCUAUUGAGUUUGUCAAAACAAGUGAGAAAUGACUUCAAAAUCUGCCACCAGCUUUCCAAUUGCACAAAAGGGGACCUGUAUGUCACAUCAAAGCAGCAUAAGUCAGGAAAUAACAACAAGCACACUGAGAUGGUAAAAAUCAACACGCUUCAGGAUUUGUUUGAAAUACAAACUCUUGGAAUAUAGCAAUUCAUGGACAAUGCAAAAGAAUGAGGGCUAGGGUGAAUGGAUAAAAAAUGUUCCACGAAGAAAUCAAAGUUAUCAUGGCUAGACAUAGAGCAUGUAGACCUCAAGGUCAGAGCCAGUGAUUUGGGUCAGGAAAGAACAUCAUAUACAACGUGGUUGGUAAAUACGCUUUCGGGAUCAUAUACAACGUGACGGAAGGUAUUGGUUUCGAAGGAGAAGAUGUAUUUUCUGGGUUAAGGUUUACAAAGGAAGCAGUUAAUCAAGGGGCAAAUCGGGUCUUCAAAUGAAAAUCAAUCAUCACGACAAGUGAAUGGGCAACUGACCUCAAGGUCAAGGCUAGUUGUUUAAGUUAAUAAAAACAGCAUACACAUGAAAUGUGGGGCGAUGGACGUGCUUUGGGGGUCAUGUGAAACACAAAGAAUGGGAGUAUGUCAGCUCAUAAGUAAUGCAACGAAUAGAGAAUACGGGGUCUAAAUGGAGAAAGGGUAUUUUCUGCGAUAAGGGUGACAGAGAAAUUGGUCAGACAAUAAGCAAGCAAUGUCUUUCAAGGUGAAAUGAAAGUUACCGUGGCAAGUGAAGGACCACAACACAAAGAUGGGAAAGGCCACAAAGGUUAGCCAAGCAUAGUAAAAUGACUCAGCAAUCAUAGGAAAUAUGUACAAAGAUGGAGGAGUAGAGUAAAGCCACAAGGGUCAGAGGGUCAGCCAAGCAUAAUAUAUUGACUUAAUAAUCUCGGGAAAGGUGUAAGAAUUUUGGCAAAGGAUCAUAAAUGUAACGCCAACAUGAGAAACAAAACAAAACCACAAGGAUCAAGGGACCAGCCAAGCAUAACCUCAUAACUCGUCAAUCGUCGAAAAAAAAGAAGUAUAAAAGAAUUCAAGAGAAGGGUCGGAGGUGCAACACGAAGUAGGGAGUGACACCGUGACAAAUUAGUUGAUUCCGGGAAAUGUGCAAGGUUUCCACCAAAGGAAUGAAAGGGUAACACAAAAAUAAAGAAAGGGCGAAACUACAAGGAAGGGAGGUUUUACCAAAGCAUGGUACAUCAACACAUCAAUCAUGGGGGAAGGACACAUAGACUCUAGCAAAAGGGCUAGAAAUGUAACAAUAAUGGGAAGCAAGGUAAAUCCAUAAAGGUUCGAGGGGUCAGCCAAUCAACUCACGAAACUCAUCAUCAACAUUGAAAUAUGAACACAACAGAACAUGACAAUGAGGAGGCCGCUUCCAACAAGAAUGUCGCGAGCCAACCACCACUUUUCAAACUGACAAGUUUUCUUUGAUUAACACAAGGGCAGGAAAAUUUCAGAAGGUCCUAAAGGGGGCCACCCACAGAGAAGGCAGGCACAUGGCAGGUAUCAUCAAAAUCUCAGAAUCCAUCUAGACGUGGCACUCAAUUAAAAUUCCAAAGGGACAUAGUCCGUUAUAAACAACCUCCCCAGCAAAGAGCACAAUGGGACAAACUUUAACUGGCAAACCAAGUAGAAGCAACCGAGGGUUAAAAGAGGCAUGAAUGUUGAGAUGAAAUGCAGUUUAAAACGCAAACAGGUGUGGGUAACAUGGGCAAGCACCAACACCUCCCCAGUAAGAGUCGCAAAAACAACCAGAAAUUAGAAUUGGCAUUUAAGUUGGAACCUUCAGGACCCUCCUAAAAAAUGGGAAUUAGAGCCAAAAUCUCCCCAGCCAAAGCCAAGAAGAGUCAAUGGAGUCAUCAGUAUCCUCCUAAAAAAGGGUACAUAGAGAAAAUAUUGCCCCAGCUAGAGUCGAUAAGAGUCAAGAAAAUUCAUCAUGACCCUCCUGAAGAAUUGGAUUAAGAGGGAAAAUUUCAAAUCUCCCCAGCUGAGUCAGCAAGAGUUACCAGGAUUUCCCUGAAAGAUGGGACUUAGAUAUUUCCCCAACCAGAGUCAAUAAAAGUCAUCAGGACCCUCCUGAAAAAUGGGGCUUAGAGCAGAUAUUUCCCCACCAAGAGUCAGUAAAAGUCAUCAAACUUAGAUAUUUCCCCGACCAAAAUUAGUAAAAGUCAUCAGGACCCUCCUGAAAAAUGGUACUUAGAGCAGAUAUUUCCCCAACAAGAGUCAAUAAAGCUCAUCAGGACCCUCCUGCAAAAUGGGACUUAGAUUAGAUACUUUCCCAGCAAGAGUCAACAAGAGUUGUCAGGAUCUCCCGAAUAAUGGGAUGUAGCCCUAAAUACUAACCCCCAGUUGUCACCUUUUGUCAUCAAAUCAAGAGUUGUCAGGACCUGCCAGGAUAAUGAAAAAUAAUUUGAAUCACCAAUCCCCAGCAAAUCCCCAGUGGACAUAACUUGUAGUAAGACAUGGUGGAAAAUAAUACCUUUUUAGUAAAUACAGCAUAAUUUUGAAAUUCGGUAGUUUUAGUCACCAAUCCUUAGCAGAUCCCUAGCGGAUAUAACUCAUAGCAAGACAUGGUGGAAAAUAAUACCUUUUCAUAAAUAAACCAAAAUCUUGAAAUUGUUAGAAGUUGAGGAUUUUCGGGACCGGUUUUUGUAAUAAGGCGCCCACCUGGAGAACAAGGGAAUAUUUUUCAAAAUUUCAAGUUUUUGUUAUCAGGCGCCCACCUGGAGAACAAGGGAAUAUUUUUCAAAAUUUCAAGUUUUAGCAAUCAGGCACUCACCUGUAGAACAAGGGAAUAUUUUUUUACGUUUUAGCAUUUAGGCGCCCACCUGGAGAAAAAGAGAAUAUUUUUUGAAAUAUUAAGUUUUUGUAAUCAGGCGGCCACUUGGAGAACAAGGGAAUAUUUUUAAAAUUUUCAAGUUUUAUAAUCAGGCGCCCACCUGUAGAACAAGAGAAUAUUGUUUUAAGUUUUAGCAAUCAGGCGCCCACCUGGAGAACAAUGGAAUACUUUUCAAAAUUUCAAGUUUUUUAAUGAGGCGCCCACGUGGAGAACAAGGGAAUAUUUUGUAAAAUUCAAAUUUUGUAAUUAGGCGCCCACCUGUAGAACAAGGGAAUAUUUUUCAAAUUUUAAGUUUUUGUAUUCAGGCGCCCAGCUAGAGAACAAGAGAAUAUUUUUCAAAAUUUCAAGUUUUGUAAUCAGGCACCCACCUAUAGAACAAGGGAAUAUUUUUAAGUAUUAGCAACCAGGCGCCCACCUAUAGAACAAGGGAAUAUUUAAAGUAUAGCAAUCAGGCGCCCAACUCGAGAACAAGGGAAUAUUUUUCAAAAUUUCAAAUUUUGUAAUCAGGCGCCCACCUGGAGAACAAGGGAAUUAUUUUUUUCAAAAUUCAAGUUUUGUAAUCAGGUGCCCACCUAUAAGACAAGGGAAUGUUUUUCAAAAUUUUAAGUUUUUGUAAUCAGGCGUCCACCUGGAGAACAAGGGAAUAUUUUUCAAACUUUCAAGUUUUGUAUUCAGGAGCCCACCUGUAGAACAAGGGAAUAUUUUUUAAAGUUUUAGCAAUCAGGCGCCCACAUGGAGAACAAGUGAAUAUUUUUCAAAUUUUCAACUUUUUGCAAUCACGCACCCACUUGGAGAACAAGGGAAUAUUUUUCAAAAUUUUAAGUUUUUGCAAUCAGGCACCCACCUGUAGAACAAGGGAAUAUGUUUCAAAAUUUUAUGUUUUUGCAAUCAGGCACCCACCUGUAGAACAAGGGAAUAUUCUUCAAAAUUAUAAGUUUUUGACAGUCAGGCACCACCUGUAGAAUAAGGGAUUAUUUUUCAAAAAUUCAAGUCUCGGUAAUCAGGCGUCCACCUGUAAAAUAAGGGAAUAUUUUUCAAAUUUUAAGUUUUUAACAAUCAGGCGCCCUCCUGUAGAACAAGGGAAUAUCUUUUAAAUUUCAAGUUUUGAUAAUCAGGCAUCCACCCGGAGAAAGGGAAAACAUCUCAGAUUACAAUUCAAAUGAGCAACAAGAGAAGCUCGUGGCAAGAAUGCGAGUCAACAGUCCGAGGUAAUAAAGAAAAGCUAGUCACAAAUAAAAAAAAAGAAAAAAGGAAGGCAAUCAGGAAGUUAAUCCAAAUUAAAGCAGAUGAAAGAUGUCAAUUUCUCAAGGCAUGGUUGAGGUCGCAAGCGAUACAUGUUCGGUCCUAAUCGAGAAAAGAUGAAGAAGAACGAGCUAGUGACUGCACAUAACAAGCGUCAAGGUUGAAAUCUCAAGUCGGAAUGAAGAACCACUCAAGACUCAAGAUCAAGCUUCAGAAGACUUAUAGAUAGGAACNNNNNNNNNNNNNNNNNNNNNNNNNNNNNNNNNNNNNNNNNNNNNNNNNNNNNNNNNNNNNNNNNNNNNNNNNNNNNNNNNNNNNNNNNNNNNNNNNNNNNNNNNNNNNNNNNNNNNAAGACUUAUAGAUGGGAACCUUGUAACUCGUAGUUGACAAUUUUAGCUAGUCUUUUUCAUUCUUUUGAUUUUGAUGUAAUAACAUGACCGCUGACCGGAAUCUCGGCGGAACGGCACCUCGGCCGGAUCUUCAUCUCGGCAUGCUCCUUCAUCUCGCUCACUCCUGAACUACACUGACCUGAUUCCUCUUUAGCCGAGGAUAUGUAGAUAACCUCUGAAGCAGGCUGUGGUCAAAUCUUUUCAAAAUGCUUCCCAUGAAGUAUUCAAACGGUCAAAAAUCGCUCGUAUUUGCUCACUUAUCUUUGCACGAAAACUCUUCGUGUUUUCGCGCAAAGAGGGGCAGCUGUGACCAUGUGACUUUUGCCAUACAUGAAAAUAACUCCUAAAAAUACACCAAUAUAAUUUUUUAUUAAUUUUAGAAAAUUUUCUUUAUUUAGUUGCAUUUCAUACAUUUUAAAUAUUUUUAAAAUCAUAGAAAAGCCAUAAAAGUGUCACAUUUUUAAUUUUAUAUCACAUUAGGUUCAAUUUGCAUUUAGAAAUUAAUUACAUUGAGUUAAUUGUAUUAUUAAUCAAAAAUCACAAAAAAUAUUAUUUUUUACAUAGUUAGGUAAUUAGCUUAAUUUUACAAUUUGAAUUGAUUUAGAAAUUUAGCUUAGGUUUUUAAUUAAUUAAAACAAAAAAAGGAAAGAAAUUGAAAAGCAAAUUCGGAAUUGGGUCAUGUAAUAAGUGAUCCAAAAUUUUUCAAUACCCAUUCUUCAUUUAAACCCAACCCAACCAAAAACCGAGUCGACCCAACCCGACCCAAUUCCCAAAUCCACCCUAACCUAAAACAUAUACACACAAUACACGCCCAAAAGAAAAUUCUGGAGAGAGGAGAGGCCUGAAGCGCAGCCUUGCCUUCCUCUUUAACAAACACACGCAAUACACAUUACCAUAUAGAAGCAUAUACACACGAUAGAGAAGAGGGGGAAAACAAAACACAUAUACAUGAGAAGGGAGCUGAGCUUCUUGAGGAGAAUACACUACAGAGAGACACACAUAGAGACGCUGGGAGAAAGGGUCUGCGCAGCUGGCGGCUGCUUCUUCACAAAAACACACACCUAUACAUACAAUACACGCACAUAAACACAGAGAAAUUAGAGAGGCGUCUGGGAAAAAUUGAGCGCAGCUGAUAGCUUUUACCAGAGAUCCCACCCUCACGAUCUCUUUUCUUCUUCGAUCAGAACGAGCCCUACUUUGGAUCUCAUUUGCAAAUAUGGUUUACUGCACCAGCUUCGUUUCUUCAUUCAAGUUUGUGAGAUCGUCGUUCGAGUUUAUAUUAGCGGAGUUUCGAGGUUCCGAUUUGAGAUCCUUGUUCGAUCUGAGAUCCUUGUUGAUUCGAACCAAUCUCACAACCUAAAUAUUCAGCAAGAAAGGUUUUUCCUCCAUCUAAAUACUCCAGAUGCAGUAUUAUGUUUGUUCCAGUGAUUUUAUUCAAAUUGAAUGCCCGUUUGUUCUUUUUUUAUUUAGCCUCUUUGAUGUUUUUCCUUGUUUUGAAUAAUUUGUUCAUUUGCACUUUAUUUUUGAGUGCUUAAACUACGAAUUUUGCCGAACUUUUCAGUAGAUUUGAUUUCCUACAUGAAUUUUUGCUCAUGGUUGAUUGGUUCUAAGUUAAAAAAAUGGAGUGAAUUAGCUUUUUCUCUGUCCAUACUUAGUUUCAUGUUAUGUUUAAUAUCAUUAUGAUUUAGCAUGUUAUAAUUUAUGUAAUAUUUUACUGUGAGUUAAUAAAUGAAUUGAUGAAACACUAGAUUUUGUUUGAAUUGGAGUGAAUUAAGUUUGUUUGGUAAGGACUUUCAGUAGGUUUGAAAUUGGCGUGAUUUUGGAUUUAGAUUAGAAUAUUUGUGUCUUAUUAGAUGGGGUUCGCACUUUUCAGUGCAUGAAUUUAGCAAUUUACUUCAGGCCCGUAACAUAAGCGUCAUAAUCAUAGAUAUGAUUCUCGUGAUGUAGUUGUGAUACUAAGCUUUAAAUUAGCUUUAAAUAUAUAUAUCCGUAGUUCUUAGUUGAGUUCUUUUCCUUUAAUAGAAUUUGAGGUGUGUCAUUUAGCGAAUUCUAUGGCCUCGCAAACUUGCAAACGCAUAUUCAUUUUAGGCACGCUAGUUAAAGAAUUCACUUUCCUAAAUACAGGUGCACAUUUAUGUGACACAAAUCCAAAUUUCAACGAAGUUGGAAUGUGUCAAAAUCCACGGGUUCAUUUAUGUGACGUGGCUCGAGACAUGUUUUAACAACGUUGCAAUUUUUUUUUAAAUAAUGAUAAAAGCGGUUUAAGGUU